Molecule: ribosomal RNA, 245 nt
Filed under: uncultured Saccharopolyspora sp.
Lineage: Bacteria; Bacillati; Actinomycetota; Actinomycetes; Pseudonocardiales; Pseudonocardiaceae
Description: partial 16S ribosomal RNA
Rfam family: Bacterial small subunit ribosomal RNA
Source: RNAcentral
CACGUAGGGUGCGAGCGUUGUCCGGAUUUAUUGGGCGUAAAGGGCCCGUAGGCGGUUUGGUAAGUCGGGUGUGAAAACUCUGGGCUCAACCCAGAGACGCCACCCGAUACUGCUAUGACUUGAGUCUGGUAGGGGAGUGCGGAAUUCCUGGUGUAGCGGUGAAAUGCGCAGAUAUCAGGAGGAACACCGGUGGCGAAGGCGGCACUCUGGGCCAGUACUGACGCUGAUGGGCGAAAGCGUGGGGA